This 348-nucleotide unclassified non-coding RNA is filed under the name soil metagenome. RNAcentral describes it as "partial contains 5.8S ribosomal RNA, internal transcribed spacer 2, and large subunit ribosomal RNA". The stretch from base 1 to 120 matches the Rfam family "5.8S ribosomal RNA", at positions 35 to 154 of the family's 154-position model. The record is from RNAcentral.
GAUGAAGAACGUAGCAAAAUGCGAUAAGUAAUGUGAAUUGCAGAAUUCAGUGAAUCAUCGAAUCUUUGAACGCACAUUGCGCCUGCUGGUAGUCCGGCGGGCAUGCCUGUUCGAGCGUCAUUUCAACCCUCAAGCCCCCGGGUUUGGUGUUGGGGAUCGGCUCUGCCCUUCUGGGCGGUGCCGCCCCCGAAAUACAUUGGCGGUCUCGCUGCAGCCUCCAUUGCGUAGUAGCUAACACCUCGCAACUGGAACGCGGCGCGGCCAUGCCGUAAAACCCCAACUUCUGAAUGUUGACCUCGGAUCAGGUAGGAAUACCCGCUGAACUUAAGCAUAUCAAUAAGCGGAGGA